GACGAACGCUGGCGGCGUGCUUAACACAUGCAAGUCGAGCGGUAAGGCCCUUUCGGGGGUACACGAGCGGCGAACGGGUGAGUAACACGUGGGUGACCUGCCCUCAGCUCUGGGAUAAGCCUGGGAAACCGGGUCUAAUACUGGAUAUGACUCCAUGACGCAUGUUGUGGGGUGGAAAGCCUUGUGCGGCUGAGGAUGGGCCCGCGGCCUAUCAGCUUGUUGGUGGGGUGANGGCCUACCAAGGCGACGACGGGUAGCCGGCCUGAGAGGGCGACCGGCCACACUGGGGCUGAGACACGGGCCCAGACUCCUACGGGAGGCAGCAGUGGGGAAUCUUGCGCAAUGGGCGAAAGCCUGACGCAGCGACGCCGCGUGAGGGAUGACGGCCU
RNAcentral lists this ribosomal RNA (389 nucleotides) under uncultured bacterium. RNAcentral's name for it is "bacterial SSU rRNA". It matches the Rfam family "Bacterial small subunit ribosomal RNA", at positions 28 to 417 of the family's 1533-position model. The record is from RNAcentral.